Molecule: ribosomal RNA, 497 nt
Filed under: uncultured bacterium
Lineage: Bacteria
Description: partial 16S ribosomal RNA
Rfam family: Bacterial small subunit ribosomal RNA
Source: RNAcentral
GAUGAACGCUGGCGGCGUGCCUAAUACAUGCAAGUAGAACGCUGAAGCUUGGUGCUUGCACCGAGCGGAUGAGUUGCGAACGGGUGAGUAACGCGUAGGUAACCUGCCUCUUAGCGGGGGAUAACUAUUGGAAACGAUAGCUAAUACCGCAUAAAAGUCGAUAUCGCAUGAUAUUGAUUUGAAAGGUGCAAUUGCAUCACUAAGAGAUGGACCUGCGUUGUAUUAGCUAGUUGGUGAGGUAACGGCUCACCAAGGCAACGAUACAUAGCCGACCUGAGAAGGUGAUCGGCCACACUGGGACUGAGACACGGCCCAGACUCCUACGGGAGGCAGCAGUAGGGAAUCUUCGGCAAUGGGGGCAACCCUGACCGAGCAACGCCGCGUGAGUGAAGAAGGUUUUCGGAUCGUAAAGCUCUGUUGUAAGAGAAGAACGAGUGUGAGAGUGGAAAGUUCACACUGUGACGGUAACUUACCAGAAAGGGACGGCUAACUACGUG